Molecule: long non-coding RNA, 1229 nt
Organism: Brienomyrus brachyistius
Lineage: Eukaryota; Metazoa; Chordata; Actinopteri; Osteoglossiformes; Mormyridae
Exons: 4
Source: RefSeq, a predicted model, not a curated record
AGCAAGAGCGUGGGUAUGACAAAUGCAACCUGCUCCCAGAACAUUAUGUAUCAUUAUUAUGUGUAUUUUCCUGCAUAGGCACAAGAAUGAUGACAAGUACAUUGGAGCGUAAUUAAACGGCUGCAUUUUGGCCUCUACUGUGAAGUGGCAGGCUGACUGAAAUGGACAUUAAACGACCAGGCGUUCUCUCCUUAUGGCCAUAAAGUAUUAUGUUAUUAAAUAUGAGACUUUCUCUGUUACACGACGGUGCUUUUAACAGACAAUUUACACCGUCAGCGUUCCUGUAGCAUCACCGUCCUGAAGUGCAGCAAAAAAACAGCCUUCACUGUCCAAAGUACUGCCGCUGAAAUGACUGUCUUCGCCUAGCAAGUUUGAAGAUAACUGCAAAGUGAUCGGAAUCUCAACAGCCAGUAAAUGAUGGUCACGGUGAGAAGGAGAUGGAGCAAAACCACCCGCUUUCCUGCUCCUGUCCUCCUAGCUUGGCGGCGUGAGCCUUCGCCCGCUGUGAUGGAUGCCAGAGCGGAGAGAACAGCUGGCAGGGAGACCAGGGCGUGACCCUUUGCUGCAUGGUCGGUUUUUGGAAGACAGACACCAAUGCACAUUCCGGAGCAUCACUGAAGCGAGUCGGCAGCCAACCCUUUUCGUAAAUAUCUGCUGGUCGCGGCCUCGUUGGGCCUCCUCCCAAGCCAAUCUGCUGUACUUCCUGUACCAUCUCCCCACGCUCACGCCCACUCAGCAGCCUGCUCCCGCUCUUGCUCAAUCUCCGCGGACGAAAUGUCACCAGCUGAAACCGAACAAGUCCGCUAAUGCAAUCUGCAUCUCUCCGCUGUUUGUCAUUAAUGCCGUCUGCCGGGACCCAAGAAAGGAUUCAAUCACCAGUUAACCUUUUACCUGUCAGAUAAUGAAAAGUAACACCAGCAUGAUAUCGGGCACCCUGUCAGAUAGGGUUGCCGCCUUAAACGCUUUGCAUUGGAAAGCAAAAGAUUUUUCACUUUUUGCUAUCACAUUAGCAUAAGACAAUGUCAUUUAACAUAUUAACAGUAAUGUCAGGUAUCCUGUCCAGGGUGUCACCCUGUCUUGUUGCCUAUUCUGCCUAGGAUUCAACUAGGAUCCCCCCCGAAGUGGUUGUAAGAUAGAUGGGUAUUAAUAAUAAUAAAAAAAACAUAAAAGCUCUUCUUGUUUAAUAUAAAAUAACAUUGCUGUGUUUAUAUAUUGUUUUGUGGCAAUAA